AUGGCACUACGCGUGCUCUUCUUGAUUCUGGCGCUCCUCGCAGCUGCCCGUGCCUCCUCUCCUGCCGCGAGCCCCGACGCUGCGUCGCUGCUCGCCUUCAAAUCGGCCUGCGCUGGAGCCGGGCGUGGCACUGCCACCGCCGCGCUCGAUUCCUGGACGGAGUCCAUUGACCCCUGCUCCGGCGAGUGGCGCGGCGUCACUUGCCAGCGGUCGUCCUCCUCCUCCGCCACUUCCCGCGUCCGUCGUGUUGUUCUCGAGGGCGUCGGCCUUGCUGGGGAUGCCGGCGCCAUCGCGGCGCUCGCGGAUGUCCCUUCGCUUUCGUUCCUUAGCCUCAAGAACAACACCUUCACGGGAUCGCUCCGUGACGUCGACUUCUCCCCCUUGGCGCCGCACCUCAAGCUCCUUUACCUCUCCGGAAAUGGCUUCUCCGGGCGGUUCCCUGAGUCCAUCCUACGACUUCGCCAUCUGCGCCGCCUAGACCUCUCCGGCAAUCGACUUGCUGGCACCAUUCCGCCGGAGAUCGGCCAUCGCCUCCGCGCGCUCGUGACACUGCAUCUGGCACGCAAUUCGUUCGUCGGGAGCGUGCCCAGCUCUCUGGACUCGAUGCCAAAGCUAGCUGAGUUCAACGUCUCCGGUAACAAGCUCAGCGGGAAGAUUCCAAACCACCUCGCCGCGGCCUUCCCGGCGUCAUCGUUUCUGGGCAACCCCAAGCUCUGCGGUGCCCCGCUGCGCCGCCGGUGCGACGGACAGCGGCAGAGAGCGCACACCGACGCUGAUGGCGAAACACCGCACGGACAGGGGAGAAGGAGUUCCCACGACCGGUGGAUGGUGGUGAUGAUCAUGGCGGCGGUGGGCGCAGCUGUGGCCACGCUGAUCGCCGCGGCACUGUGCGCCGUUCUGUGCUUGAAGAACAAGAAGUCGACGCGGCCGCGCGCCAACUCGCGCACCAGCUCGAUGUCGACGUCGCGGGAGGAGACGGUGCGCUUCGACGGGUGCUGCGAGGAGUUCGACGUGAGGGCGCUCAUGAUGGGAGCCGCGGAGAUGCUGGGCAAAGGCGCCGCCGCGACGACGUACCGCGUGGUCAUGGGAGGCCAGCACGACGUGGGCGACGCCGGCGCCGAGGAGACCAAGGGCGACGAGGUGGUGGUGAAGAGGCUGAGGAGGAGGGAAGGCGCGACCCGGGAGGACGAGGGCCGGAGGAGGGAACUGGCGAGGGAGAUGGGCUCGUGGCGGCACGCCAACAUCGUCGACCUGCGCGCGUUCUAUGCGUCGGAGGAGGAGCUUCUCCUCGUCUUCGACUACAUCCCCAACGGCAGCCUCCACAGCCUCUUGCAUGAGAACAGGGGACCGGCACGAGCCCCUCUGGACUGGCAGACGAGGCUGAGGCUGGCGCAGGACGCGGCGCAGGGCCUCGCCUACCUCCACGGCGUGUCCGGCUCCAGGCUCGCCCACCGCCACCUCACCUCCUCCAACAUCCUCAUCGACGCCGGCGGCAGCGCGCGCGUGUCCGACUUCGCCCUGCUCCAGCUGCUCGUGCCGGCGCCACCGCCAGAAAAGGCCCUGCAGAAGCAGGACGUGCGCGACUUCGGGGUCAUCCUGCUGGAGCUACUCACGGGCCGGUCGCCGGAGGACGGCAAGGUGGACAUUCCGCGGUGGGUGCGGACGGUGGUGCGGGAGGAGUGGACCUCCGAGGUGUUCGACGUGGAGCUGCUGCGGACCAGGGGCGCGGAGGACGAGAUGGUGGCGCUCCUCCAGGUGGCCCUGCUCUGUGCCGCCGACGACCCGAGGGAGCGGCCGAGGAUGGCUGUGGUGUCCAAGAUGAUCGAGGACAUCAGGGACAGGGGGAGCAAGAGGAGCAAGUGCUCAGCUUCUCCAUCGCAAGCUGGGUGUUCCUACGACUCGUCUCCUUGCGCGUCAGAGGGCACUACCAAGUCUACCACCGCCUCAAGCUCUUGA
RNAcentral lists this ribosomal RNA (1956 nucleotides) under Triticum aestivum (bread wheat). RNAcentral's name for it is "partial small subunit ribosomal RNA". Lineage: Eukaryota; Viridiplantae; Streptophyta; Magnoliopsida; Poales; Poaceae. The record is from RNAcentral.